CAGCAGCCCGAGUGGUGGUCGUUUUUAUUGGGCCUAAAGCGCCCGUAGCCGGUCUAGUAAAUCCUUGGAUAAAUCGUACAGCUUAACUGUACGGCUCCCGGGGAGACUGCUAGACUUGGGACUGGGAGAGGUCGGAGGUACUCCAGGGGUAGGGGUGAAAUCUUGUAAUCCUUGGGGGACCACCAGUGGCGAAGGCGUCCGACUAGAACGGGUCCGACGGUAAGGGACGAAGCCCUGGGGCGCGAACCGGAUUAGAUACCCGAGUAGUCC
This 270-nucleotide ribosomal RNA is filed under the name uncultured archaeon. RNAcentral's name for it is "partial 16S ribosomal RNA". It matches the Rfam family "Archaeal small subunit ribosomal RNA", at positions 477 to 747 of the family's 1478-position model. The record is from RNAcentral.